GACGAACGCUGGCGGCGCGCCUAACACAUGCAAGUCGAACGGAGCUUAGAGAGCUUGCUUUUUAAGCUUAGUGGCGAACGGGUGAGUAACGCGUGAGUAACCUGCCCUAGAGUGGGGGACAACAGUUGGAAACGACUGCUAAUACCGCAUAAGCCCACGGUACCGCAUGGUACUGAGGGAAAAGGAUUUAUUCGCUUUAGGAUGGACUCGCGUCCAAUUAGCUAGUUGGUGAGGUAACGGCCCACCAAGGCGACGAUUGGUAGCCGGACUGAGAGGUUGAACGGCCACAUUGGGACUGAGACACGGCCCAGACUCCUACGGGAGGCAGCAGUGGGAGAUAUUGCACAAUGGGGGAAACCCUGAUGCAGCGACGCCGCGUGGAGGAAGAAGGUUUUCGGAUUGUAAACUCCUGUCGUUAGGGACGAUAAUGACGGUACCUAACAAGAAAGCACCGGCUAACUACGUGCCAGCAGCCGCGGUAAAACGUAGGGUGCAAGCGUUGUCCGGAAUUACUGGGUGUAAAGGGAGCGCAGGCGGGAAGACAAGUUGGAAGUGAAAACCAUGGGCUCAACCCAUGAAUUGCUUUCAAAACUGUUUUUUCUUGAGUAGUGCAGAGGUAGAUGGAAUCCCCGGUGUAGCGGUGGAAUGCGUAGAUAUCGGGAGGAACACCAGUGGCGAAGGCGGUCUACUGGGCACCAACUGACGCUGAGGCUCGAAAGCAUGGGUAGCAAACAGGAUUAGAUACCCUGGUAGUCCAUGCCGUAAACGAUGAUUACUAGGUGUUGGGGGAUUGACCCCCUCAGUGCCGCAGUUAACACAAUAAGUAAUCCACCUGGGGAGUACGACCGCAAGGUUGAAACUCAAAGGAAUUGACGGGGGCCCGCACAAGCAGUGGAGUAUGUGGUUUAAUUCGAAGCAACGCGAAGAACCUUACCAGGUCUUGACAUCCGAUGCAUAACACAGAGAUGUGUGAAAUCCUUCGGGACAUCGAGACAGGUGGUGCAUGGUUGUCGUCAGCUCGUGUCGUGAGAUGUUGGGUUAAGUCCCGCAACGAGCGCAACCCUUAUUGCCAGUUACUACGUUAAGAGGACUCUGGCGAGACUGCCGUUGACAAAACGGAGGAAGGUGGGGAUGACGUCAAAUCAUCAUGCCCUUUAUGACCUGGGCUACACACGUACUACAAUGGCGUUAAACAAAGAGAGGCAAGACCGCGAGGUGGAGCAAAACUCAAAAACAACGUCUCAGUUCAGAUUGCAGGCUGCAACUCGCCUGCAUGAAGUCGGAAUUGCUAGUAAUCGCGGAUCAGCAUGCCGCGGUGAAUACGUUCCCGGGCCUUGCACA
RNAcentral lists this ribosomal RNA (1341 nucleotides) under uncultured bacterium. RNAcentral describes it as "bacterial SSU rRNA". It matches the Rfam family "Bacterial small subunit ribosomal RNA", at positions 28 to 1387 of the family's 1533-position model. The record is from RNAcentral.